GGAGAAAACCUGAUAUUUGGACCU
Molecule: microRNA, 24 nt
Filed under: Ananas comosus (pineapple)
Lineage: Eukaryota; Viridiplantae; Streptophyta; Magnoliopsida; Poales; Bromeliaceae
Description: microRNA s0952_c122a
Source: RNAcentral